Molecule: ribosomal RNA, 492 nt
Filed under: uncultured bacterium
Lineage: Bacteria
Description: partial 16S ribosomal RNA
Rfam family: Bacterial small subunit ribosomal RNA
Source: RNAcentral
AGUGAACGCUGGCGGUAGGCCUAACACAUGCAAGUCGAACGGCAGCACAGUAAGAGCUUGCUCUUACGGGUGGCGAGUGGCGGACGGGUGAGGAAUACAUCGGACUCUACUUUUUCGUGGGGGAUAACGUAGGGAAACUUACGCUAAUACCGCAUACGACCUACGGGUGAAAGCAGGGGAUCUUCGGACCUUGCGCGAUUGAAUGAGCCGAUGUCGGAUUAGCUAGUUGGCGGGGUAAAGGCCCACCAAGGCGACGAUCCGUAGCUGGUCUGAGAGGAUGAUCAGCCACACUGGAACUGAGACACGGUCCAGACUCCUACGGGAGGGAGCAGUGGGGAAUAUUGGACAAUGGGCGCAAGCCUGAUCCAGCCAUACCGCGUGGGUGAAGAAGGCCUUCGGGUUGUAAAGCCCUUUUGUUGGGAAAGAAAAGCAGCAGGUUAAUACCCCGCUGUUCUGACGGUACCCAAAGAAUAAGCACCGGCUAACUUCGUG